Molecule: ribosomal RNA, 323 nt
Filed under: uncultured eukaryote
Lineage: Eukaryota
Description: partial 18S ribosomal RNA
Rfam family: Eukaryotic small subunit ribosomal RNA
Source: RNAcentral
CCCUUAGAUGUUCUGGGCAGCACGCGCGCUACAAUGGUCUUCGCAAACGGAUGCAUUCUCGAAGGAGAAUGCCAAUCUUGGAAUCUAUGCCUUGGUCGGGACAGUUGCUUGCAAUUUUUCGACUCGAACCAGGAAUUCCUUGUAAUCGUGAUUCAUCACACCACGAUGAUUACGUCCCUGCCCUUUGUACACACCGCCCGUCGCUGCCCGGAACUGAGCCGUUUCGAGAAGACUGAGGAUUGCUGACUUGAGGCCUUCACGGGCUUCUAGUCGGUGAAAAUCAAUUUAAUCGCAGCGGCUUGAACCGGGCAAAAGUCGUAACA